Molecule: ribosomal RNA, 399 nt
Filed under: uncultured bacterium
Lineage: Bacteria
Description: bacterial SSU rRNA
Rfam family: Bacterial small subunit ribosomal RNA
Source: RNAcentral
AUUGAACGCUGGCGGCAUGCUUUACACAUGCAAGUCGAACGGCAGCACGGGUGCUUGCACCUGGUGGCGAGUGGCGAACGGGUGAGUAAUGCAUCGGAACGUGCCCAUGAGUGGGGGAUAGCCCGGCGAAAGCCGGAUUAAUACCGCAUACGCCCUUAGGGGGAAAGCGGGGGAUCUUCGGACCUCGCGCUAUUGGAGCGGCCGACGUCGGAUUAGCUAGUAGGUGAGGUAAAGGCUCACCUAGGCGACGAUCCGUAGCUGGUCUGAGAGGAUGAUCAGCCACACUGGGACUGAGACACGGCCCAGACUCCUACGGGAGGCAGCAGUGGGGAAUUUUGGACAAUGGGCGCAAGCCUGAUCCAGCCAUGCCGCGUGAGUGAAGAAGGCCUCGGUUGUAAG